GAGGCUAUAGCUCAGUGGUAGAGUGCAGGCUUGGCAAGCACGCGGUCCUGGGUUCAAUCCCCAGCACCUCU
Molecule: transfer RNA, 71 nt
Filed under: Camelus bactrianus (Bactrian camel)
Lineage: Eukaryota; Metazoa; Chordata; Mammalia; Artiodactyla; Camelidae
Also listed under: 1 other name
Rfam family: tRNA
About the family: Transfer RNA (tRNA) molecules are approximately 80 nucleotides in length. Their secondary structure includes four short double-helical elements and three loops (D, anti-codon, and T loops). Further hydrogen bonds mediate the characteristic L-shaped molecular structure. tRNAs have two regions of fundamental functional importance: the anti-codon, which is responsible for specific mRNA codon recognition, and the 3' end, to which the tRNAs corresponding amino acid is attached (by aminoacyl-tRNA synthetases). tRNAs cope with the degeneracy of the genetic code in two manners: having more than one tRNA (with a specific anti-codon) for a particular amino acid; and 'wobble' base-pairing, i.e. permitting non-standard base-pairing at the 3rd anti-codon position.
Source: Rfam by way of RNAcentral